GCCAGCGUAGCUUAAAUUAAAGCAUUACCUUGAAGGAGUUAAGACGGGCCCUAAAUAGACCUCGCAGGCA
Molecule: transfer RNA, 70 nt
Filed under: Polydactylus sextarius (blackspot threadfin)
Lineage: Eukaryota; Metazoa; Chordata; Actinopteri; Polynemidae
Also listed under: 1 other name
Description: tRNA-Phe
Source: RNAcentral